GGGUUGGUGUAACCACUGGGGGUUUCAAGCGGCUGCAAACUUUCUUUUGAAAUGGCGAUCAGGAAAAUGCAAACUCCUUGACUUGACUUUAGGAACUGGGAUUUUAAGGAAAGCUGCUGAGAGUUGCAGCUUUCAGAUACUGAAGAAAAUGGAGGCGGCAGGUAAUGACAAGGGAUGCCGUGACCGAAUGGGAGAGGAGUGCCUCUAAACAAGGAUUGGCCAGCCAGCAGCAACUCUGCCUGCCCUCACAGCCGCCAUUUUGUUGGGCUUUCAGCCAUAGCUGCUGCCCUGCCAUAAAAGAGCGGGAAAAAAGAUGCUGAGGUGCGGCUGCUGGAAAGCUGCAUUGCUGCGGUGGUCCCUCAUCAGUGCCAGCAGCUGUGAGCCUUCAGCAGGACCUUGAUGGGGCUCAGCUGCUAUAGCCUUGCUUCAGCCUUUAUCAUGAGGAUUCAUGAGUGAUUUGGGGGAGAUGGUUCUGCAAUACUUGGUCCUGUGUGAGUGAUGUGUUGAUCAGAAGGCAACAGAUCUUGCCACUGGAGUAAGUGAUAUUACUCACCUGAGUAAAGGCUGUGUGAUGAGGCUUAACAUGAAGAUGGAAGAAGAAAGGGUCCGAGAGUUUGUUUUCUGCCCUGAAGAGUCAACACAAUGGCAACUCUGCUAAACCAAAUGCCAGGUCUGGGAAGCUGAACCUUGCAUAGACCAUUGAUGGCCUAUGAAUCUCCAGGAAGAAAAGAAGGGAUUAGCUUAUAAGAAGUCAUUGAUUGUAUACUGGUAUGUCUAUGGAUUAUUUUUCUCAACAACUAAAUUUCAGAUGAAAAACCUUUUGAAGUGAACCAUGGAGAUACUGGGGAUGGGAUGGAGGGACUUCUAGUGCUACUACCUGAAUGAUACCUGGGCUGCAUGAUAUGUUCCCCUAGAGCAUGUCAUAUGGCUAUGAUCAUUGGACAGACUUUCCCUCUUAUCUUGCUUAGAUUACAACUUUCUGCUGUUCCUGAUUCUCUAGACUCCUCUAGACUAUUCCUAAGAUAAAGUUUUUCAGAGUGAA
Non-coding RNA from Meleagris gallopavo (turkey), 1042 nucleotides. The record is from RefSeq and is a predicted model, not a curated record. Lineage: Eukaryota; Metazoa; Chordata; Aves; Galliformes; Phasianidae.